UUAAAUUCCCUCUUAACAACACUUUUUUUAAAGAAAAUAUCAAAAGUUAAAGCAAGGACCAAUCAACAUGAUAUUAUGGAAAGCAAAUAACAAAAAUCACAAAAAAAGAAAAGCUCAGCAUGAUAAUAUGUAAAACAGAAUGCUUGAAUAUGCCCCCAAAUCAACCAAAAACUGAAAUGUGGUGCGACAAUGAAGUUGAUGGAAACUGAAGAUUUCAAUCGAUAUAACAAAAAAUUAAAAAGAUAGAGAAACGGAGAUAGUCAGCUAGGGCUUACAGAGGAGAGCGACGGAAUGAGAAG
This 299-nucleotide unclassified non-coding RNA is filed under the name Hevea brasiliensis (rubber tree). The record is from RNAcentral. Lineage: Eukaryota; Viridiplantae; Streptophyta; Magnoliopsida; Malpighiales; Euphorbiaceae.